AGAGUUUGAUCCUGGCUCAAGACGAACGCUGGCGGCGUGCCUCAUACAUGCAAGUCGAGCGGUCUUUAAGUGUACUUGUAUACUUAAAGAUAGCGGCGGACGGGUGAGUAACACGUGGGUAACCUGCCCUUAAGAGUGGAAUAACGUUUCGAAAGGAACGCUAAUACCGCAUAAUACGGAAACGUCUCAUGACGAUUCCGGGAAAGGAAGCAAUUCCGCUUAUGGAUGGGCCCGCGUCCUAUUAGCUAGUUGGUAGGGUAAUAGCCUACCAAGGCAACGAUAGGUAGCCGACCUGAGAGGGUGACCGGCCACACUGGAACUGAGAACGGUCCAGACUCCUACGGGAGGCAGCAGUAGGGAAUAUUCCGCAAUGGGCGCAAGCCUGACGGAGCAACGCCGCGUGAGUGAAGAAGGUUUUCGGAUCGUAAAGCUCUGUCCUCGGUGACGAAACCAGACGGUAGCCGAGAAGGAAGCCACGGCAAACUACGUGCCAGCAGCCGCGGUAAUACGUAGGUGGCGAGCGUUGUCCGGAAUAACUGGGCGUAAAGGGCAUGCAGACGGUAUAUCAAGCCAAAUGUGAAAAGUAAGGGCUCAACCCUUACCCUGCGUUUGUAACUGAUAAACUUGAGUACAGGAGAGGCAAAUGGAAUUCCCAGUGUAGCAGUGAAAUGCGUAGAGAUUGGGAGGAACACCAGUGGCGAAGGCGAUUUGCUGGUCUGUAACUGACGUUGAGAUGCGAAAGCCAGGGGAGCAAACGGGAUUAGAUACCCCGGUAGUCCUGGCCGUAAACGAUGGAUACUAGGUGUAGGAGGUAUCGACCCCUUCUGUGCCGUAGUGAACGCAAUAAGUAUCCCGCCUGGGUAGUACGGUCGCAAGACUGAAACUCAAAGGAAUUGACGGGGGCCCGCACAAGCAGUGGAGCAUGUGGUUUAAUUCGACGCAACCCGAAGAACCUUACCAGGUUUUGACAUUUAUGGAAUUCUGUAGAGAUACGGAAGUGCCUGUUCGCAGGAAUCAUAAAACAGGUGGUGCAUGGUUGUCGUCAGCUCGCGUCGUGAGAUGUUGGGUUAAGUCCCGCAACGAGCGCAACCCUUGAUAACAGUUGCCAUCAGGUAGUGCUGGGCACUUUGUUGUGACUGCCGUAGAUAAUACGGAGGAAGGUGGGGAUGACGUCAAAUCAUCAUGCCCUAUAUGACCUGGGCUACACACGUGCUACAAUGGGAUGAACAACGGGAAGCCAACCGGCGACGGUGAGCGGAUCCCUUAAAACAUUUCUCAGUUCGGAUUGCAGGCUGAAAUUCGCCUGCAUGAAGCAGGAAUUGCUAGUAAUCGCGGAUCAGAAAGCCGCGGUGAAUACGUUCCCGGGCCUUGUACACACCGCCCGUCA
RNAcentral lists this ribosomal RNA (1387 nucleotides) under uncultured bacterium. Its description in RNAcentral is "16S ribosomal RNA". It matches the Rfam family "Bacterial small subunit ribosomal RNA". The record is from RNAcentral.